ACUUCCACGCCUUCCAAUCUGUAGCAGCUGAUUGUGCCCUGAUGAUGAUGAAUCUCUGAGCGAAGUUUUUGGCUGAUCGCACAUUGAAAUGGCAAAACAAUCAUGCAUUUGAAAAAAGCGAUGCAUCGAAGAAAAACUUUCAUGUAUGAAAAUGAACUAUAAAAGGGAACACUGUAAUUGCUUAUUAAUUAAUCAGAUAAUAAUCAUUUAUUCGAAUAGGAAAGGAGGCGUAUAGCCUAUAAACUUGCAAAGUACAGAAAAAGAACGAAAAUAUUGUGCGUUACGAAAAGGAACGACAUAUGAACAAGGAGAGCCAAAACUAAAAUAAUCGAAACCAAACAAACCCUGGACUAGCAUACACAUCACCCGUGGAAUGAAACAUUGUAUCUAUAAUAAGGAUCCAAAACCCCUAAGUUUGUUUAUAAGUGAAGAUCAAAAAUUUCAGCCCUCAGCUCUCAACAAGGGGGGAUAUUUAUUGAAAAUUACCAAAGUCAGGUAGCAGAACGAAUCGGUUAGUACCUACAUUUUUCAGUCAACCCCUGAAUUUCGAAGAGUGAAGUUCCUAAUUCUCAAAUUGUUAGUUAUACUUUUAAAGUUGAAAAUUGGCGUUAUACAAAAAUCAAAAUGUCUGCUCAAAUACCAAUACAAAGUUCUUGGGAGGAGUUCAUACUGCCGACAAGGAUUGCCUUCUUGAGUCAAGAAAAAUUAAACAAAUUGAGAAAAUAGAGUUACCUACGUAAGAUGGUGAUCAUUCACGAUUUAAUUCGAAAUAAUCAGAGUGUGCUGGAUCGUUUAAAAGAUCUGAGGUUCUAUACAGGCAGUCAUUCAGCGAAUCUGAGAAGAACAUCAGAAAUUCUUGAUUUCAAAUUGACUAAGGCGUUAUAUAUUAAGAGAAUAUUGGAAAUUACUGUCCGCGGAAAGAAAAUACUGCACAUGGAAUUAUCCGAAUUUCAGUGCUUAGUUCAUUCGAUGCUCCAGAAAAAAAAUCAUGAACGACCUCGAGUAGGUUGUAUAAAAUUAUUGUUCUAUCCUCAUUCAUAUGAUAAAUAUGAAACUGCGCGUGUUUGAUAGUUUGUUUGUAUAUUUCUCUUUCCAUAACGCCCAGGGCGAUAUCGGAUUUUGAUGGGAAUUUCACUAUAGUGUAGAGAAUUUAUCAGAUUAGGUUUCAGUGUUACAUUCAUUCUUAUAUGGAGAUAUUCAUAUAUGAAAAAAUAUAAUUUGAAAUUAAAUAAAAGUUGAAAUUAAAUAAAAUUUGAAAUUCAAUAAAAUUUCUUUGAAAAAGUC
This is a long non-coding RNA of Coccinella septempunctata (seven-spotted ladybird), 1284 nucleotides long. RefSeq lists it as uncharacterized. The transcript is spliced from 2 exons. The record is from RefSeq and is a predicted model, not a curated record. NCBI's taxonomy places the organism in Eukaryota, Metazoa, Arthropoda, Insecta, Coleoptera, Coccinellidae.